CAAAUAUCUAUUCAAGGGUGGAGGAAAAAAACCAUAGGAUGGAAUCACAGAGUUGCUGACCCUACUGGCGAAUCUGAUCACCAAACUCAUUCCGGGCAAGACGCACCCAUCUGUUCAACUGCCAGACACGGCUCCCAGCACUCUCAGCGGGUAAUCUCCAGAUCUCCAUCCGAUCGUCCUACAGACUCCCCCAGGGAUGCUCUUGUUUGCUCAAGUCUGAGUCCCCCAACACCCUCAUUCCCAUCACCACCCUCUUUGAACUCCAGAACGCGUUCCUCAGCCUUUGCUGAGAACCUCUGAAUUUGCUCUUAGCUGCAUUAAAGACAACCGAAUCGACUGGCUCUCCCAAGCAACUCUUUCCUUUAGCAAAGAAUAGGAGUUCUGAUCGGCUUCGGACAAAAUGCUUUGCACAGAACAGCUGCUCGCUGGGAACCUUCCUGCUGUCUGGGUUCCGACUUCCGAGGGAGCGCCGGAUGUGGACUACAUUUCCCAGAAGUCUCAGGAGCACAGCGCUUUCGGGCGCUGGGCGAGUUUGCGGGUGGAGAGCGUUUUCUCGGACCCAGUUCCCAGUUCCGGGCUGUUUCCCGGCUCUCAUGUCCCGUAAGCUUCUGUGUCCACACACACAUCGGACUUUGGAGUCCCUUUCCUGUGUUCUCAAGUUCUUGGACCACGAGUGGUGAGUCGGUCGCGUUUGAGGAGGUAAUCGGCGCCGGGGGAGAGUGGUAGGGCUUCUCCGAGGUCCCCAACCGAGCCCGAUCUGAACUGGCCCUGAGUGUGACGGUGGUGGCCCCGGCAGGCGCUGGAGAUAAAAAGGCUGGCAUAGGACAUCCCGUGCCCGGAGCUUCAAGCAUACCUCAACAGCUGAGCGGCAUAGUGUGUGGCAGGUGGCGUUUCGGGGCUGAGGGGGGGGUGUUCGUGACUGUGGACGCGGUUGAGAAUGUAUGACUGGGGUGGGCUGUAUGGUCUUAUUCCUAGGUAUAGUUUGCUUUUGCCCUGUGCUCAGGGCAACCUCGAGGCUGUCUUUGGCUCUGCCACAAUUACAUGACCCCAGAAAACAAGUCUCUACUAAGCCCAGGACAGUAGGGGCGAAUCUGGGGCACGCGUGGAGCAGCAGGCUGUUUGUAGCCUUGAAAAUUCCAAAAAAAGUUCGUCGUCACUGUCCAAGGUUGUAUGUUUCACUGAAAGUAUCCUCGUGACAAACUCCUGGGAAGACAGAACCUAGAGGAUCUUAGAGAUGGGAUUCCUAGAAAAGGUGCCUCUACAAGCUCUUUAGGUGCCAGCUACAUGUUUUCAUAGUCACUGCAACUAGAUUGCUAUUCCUGAGAAUUGCUGUCAACUCAGAGACAGACUCCAGCUGCUUUUUGAAAUGUGUGGAUGAAGAUAGAUACGGCCCUAAGUGUGUUUUCUUUUUCUUUCUUUCUUUCUUUCACAAGAAAAAAGAGACACGCUGGCAACUCAUGAUUUCUCCCCAGGGCUGUCAGGUUCCCAAGAGGACAUGGAGGAGGAGGAAAGAAUUUUUGCCUAUUUGUAAAUCAAGGGUUCUGAGUUUCUUUUUUAUUCAUAUAAUUAUUUUUUCUUCUAGGUGAUGAGAGCAGUACUUCCUUUGGCCCAAGAUACCUUGACUCUAUGGUCUAUUCUGAGUUUCCCUCCUGGAGAAUGACUCACUAUCCUACAUCCUUUUCCUCAGUGACUUUGAAUGUACAGGGGGCUUCCCUGUCACAGAGGAGAAUCUGGACCAAAGGAGAAUCUUGUCAGUGAAAAUGUCUCAUUGUAUUGCUGAGUGACAGCUACAGGAUGAUCAGAUGAUCGAGACCUGGACUGGCACACAAGAAAAAUUAGUGGCCCAGAAGAUAUAGAGAGAAAGAAGUUAAAAUCACACAUCUAAUUAUUCU
This is a long non-coding RNA of Fukomys damarensis (Damara mole-rat), 1892 nucleotides long. RefSeq lists it as uncharacterized. The transcript is spliced from 4 exons. NCBI's taxonomy places the organism in Eukaryota, Metazoa, Chordata, Mammalia, Rodentia, Bathyergidae. The record is from RefSeq and is a predicted model, not a curated record.